Molecule: ribosomal RNA, 253 nt
Filed under: Betaproteobacteria bacterium
Lineage: Bacteria; Pseudomonadati; Pseudomonadota; Betaproteobacteria
Also listed under: 1 other name
Description: partial 16S ribosomal RNA
Rfam family: Bacterial small subunit ribosomal RNA
Source: RNAcentral
UACGUAGGGUGCGAGCGUUAAUCGGAAUUACUGGGCGUAAAGUGUGCGCAGGCGGCAGAGCAAGUCGAGUGUGAAAGCCCCGGGCUUAACUUGGGAAUUGCGCUCGAAACUACUUUGCUGGAGUGUGGCAGAGGAAGGUGGAAUUCCACGUGUAGCGGUGAAAUGCGUAGAGAUGUGGAGGAACACCAAUGGCGAAGGCAGCCUUCUGGGCCAACACUGACGCUCAUGCACGAAAGCGUGGGGAGCAAACAGG